RNAcentral lists this transfer RNA (66 nucleotides) under Scrobicularia plana. RNAcentral describes it as "tRNA-Asn". The record is from RNAcentral. Lineage: Eukaryota; Metazoa; Mollusca; Bivalvia; Cardiida; Scrobiculariidae.
UAAGUUUUAUUUUAAUCUAGAAUAGCUAGUUGUUACCUAGUAGGUGCAAAAAUUUUGCAAACUUAA